CCAGACUCCUACGGGAGGCAGCAGUGGGGGAUAUUGCACAAUGGGGGAAACCCUGAUGCAGCGACGCCGCGUGAGUGAAGAAGUAAUUCGUUACGUAAAGCUCUAUCAGCAGGGAAGAAAAUGACGGUACCUGACUAAGAAGCCCCGGCUAACUACGUGCCAGCAGCCGCGGUAAUACGUAGGGGGCAAGCGUUAUCCGGAAUUACUGGGUGUAAAGGGAGCGCAGGCGGCGCGCCAAGUCUGAUGUGAAACCCCGGGGCUCAACCCCGGGCAUGCAUUGGAAACUGGCGGGCUGGAGUGCCGGAGAGGUAAGCGGAAUUCCUAGUGUAGCGGUGAAAUGCGUAGAUAUUAGGAGGAACACCAGUGGCGAAGGCGGCUUACUGGACGGCAACUGACGCUGAGGCUCGAAAGCGUGGGGAGCAAACAGGAUUAGAUACCCCGGUAA
Molecule: ribosomal RNA, 445 nt
Filed under: uncultured bacterium
Lineage: Bacteria
Description: bacterial SSU rRNA
Rfam family: Bacterial small subunit ribosomal RNA
Source: RNAcentral